RNAcentral lists this ribosomal RNA (253 nucleotides) under uncultured bacterium. Its description in RNAcentral is "partial 16S ribosomal RNA". It matches the Rfam family "Bacterial small subunit ribosomal RNA", at positions 524 to 776 of the family's 1533-position model. The record is from RNAcentral.
UACGUAGGUGGCAAGUGUUGUCCGGAUUUACUGGGCGUAAAGGGCGUGCAGGCGGUUUGUUAAGUGCAGGGUGAAAGCUCCCGGCUCAACUGGGAGAGGUCCUUGCAUACUGGCAAACUCGAGGGAGGCAGAGGAAAGUGGAAUUCCCGGUGUAGUGGUGAUAUGCGUAGAUAUCGGGAGGAACACCUGUGGCGAAGGCGGCUUUCUGGGCCUUACCUGACGCUGAGACGCGAAAGCGUGGGGAGCGAACCGG